UUCAAAAACUUUUUUAACCUAUCACCCGACGUUGGAGUUUUUAACCUGACAUGUUUUUGUAAGAGAAAUUUUUCCACAUGAUCAUUUUUUCACGUGUUCAUCAUUCUUAGUUUUUGACGUCGUACCUGAAGACGCUUUUAGAAAAAGCGAAACAUUCUUGUACCGAAAUUAGAAAAAAAUA
Molecule: non-coding RNA, 181 nt
Organism: Onthophagus taurus
Lineage: Eukaryota; Metazoa; Arthropoda; Insecta; Coleoptera; Scarabaeidae
Source: RefSeq, a predicted model, not a curated record